AUCUGCUCAGCAAGUCCAAGGUGUACGACGUUGCGGCGCUGAGUGCCAUUUUCCUGCACAACAACUACAACUACAUCUCAAGUCCCUGGAGAAGUCUGAACUGAUCCAGCUGGUGACGGUGACCCAGAAAAACGCUGAGACCUCCUACAGGGAGCUGAUCGAGCAGCAGAUUCAGACCUACCAGCACAGCUGGUCAAAGGUCACGGAGCACCUAACAGACCGAACAUGCCUGUUUUCCAACCCGGCGUCAAGCUGAAAGAUAAAGAGCGGCAGGUGAUCAAAGAUAAAUUCAAGGGCUUUAAUGAGGGCUUGGAAGAGCUGUGUA
Thalassophryne amazonica is the source of this 325-nucleotide long non-coding RNA. RefSeq lists it as uncharacterized. The record is from RefSeq and is a predicted model, not a curated record. The transcript is spliced from 5 exons. Lineage: Eukaryota; Metazoa; Chordata; Actinopteri; Batrachoidiformes; Batrachoididae.